AGCGUUCUGUGAUGCCCUUGUAUACAUGUAAAUGCUGCAGCGUCUGUGUGUUUCUCCUCUUAGACUCUCAGCUGAAGAAGUGUCUUUAGAAUAAAUCUCUUGACAUUUAUUUUGGUCCUUCGAAGCCGGGGCAGAAACAUCAGAACUCUUAUCUGUGACUCUGUUCCAGGAUCCAGCACUGAUUCCUGACGCUGUGGGAAGCCAGCACCGAAGUCUGUGCACAGCCCUCUUAGAUGAGGCCGAAAGACCUGGGACGCUAAAAUUCGGGUCCAGGCCGGUGUUUUUAGUCUGGUCCAUGGCGGUGGGAUUCAGUCUGGCGAUCCGAACCACCAGUGAGACGUCUGAGGGUGAGAAACACUAUUUUGGUUAGGAAUCGCCGUAAUGAACCGACAAAUAAAAUAGGUUAGGAAUCGCCGUAAUGAACCGACAAAUAAAAUAGGUUAGGAAUCGCCGUAAUGAACCGACAAAUGAAAUAGGUUAGGAUUCGCCGUAAGGAACUGAAUUAGACUUAGGUUUUAGAAGUAGCCGUAAUUACUUCAUAACAAAUUGAAAAAGCGCGCAAAUGUCUAUGUGUGUAUGUGUCUAGAAGUAAGUUGAUUUUACAGCACAAUACGCUGCUGAACUACUUCUAUUUUAUUUUGUUUUCUUUGCUGAGGCUCACGUACUGGUGACAUUGGAGAACGGUUGGGCUUCGUCUCGUAACACUGGUACCGCUUGACCUUUAGGGUCAAGUCGAAGGCCGUAUCAGUAACCACUCUGAAGUCGAGCGUGCCAGUGACGGCCCAGCAAAAUCUUUAAAAAUGGGGAAUAAACAAGCAAAAUUAACACCUGACGAGGAAUGAUUAGAAAAACAAGAAACCGGAGCAGGAAUAAUCCAAAAGAAGGGGAGAGGAAUGGAGAGGCAGACAGGCAAAAAAAAAAGAGUAAAAGCAUUAACAAACAAAGAAGGCAGUGACUCAGAACAGGAUAGCAGCCCAGGUGAAGAGAAUAGUUCAGAUCAGGAAGAACAUAAUAAUCCCUCACCAAGUGAAAAAUUCAAGAUCAAAGUAGAAGUUUAAAAAGGGCUGGAAACAGACCCGACUGAAUACAUAUAGAUACAAGAGGAAUAAAGUAAAAUAAACAAAAGGCUAAAUUAA
Oreochromis niloticus (Nile tilapia) is the source of this 1136-nucleotide long non-coding RNA. RefSeq lists it as uncharacterized. The record is from RefSeq and is a predicted model, not a curated record. Lineage: Eukaryota; Metazoa; Chordata; Actinopteri; Cichliformes; Cichlidae. The transcript has 2 exons.